GAUCAAGUAAAGGAAGAGCACAAGGCGGAUGCCUUGGCAGCAUAAGGCGAUGAAGGACGUAGUAACCUGCGAUAAGCCUCGGGAAGUUGGUAAACAAAUUUUGAUCCGAGGAUUUCCGAAUGGGAAAACCCAAUAUACAUAAGUAUAUUAUCUUAUACUGAAUACAUAGGUAUAAGAGGCAAACCUAGGGAACUGAAACAUCUAAGUACCUAGAGGAAAAGAAAUCAAUUGAGAUUCCGGUAGUAGCGGCGAGCGAAACCGGAUCAGCCCUUAAGCUUUUUUUAGUCCAGCAAAAUAUUCUGGAAAGUUUAGCCAUAGUAGGUGAUAGCCCUGUAUGUGAAAGACUAAUUAAAGUGAAAUCGAGUAGGUCGGGACACGUGAAAUCUUGACUGAAUAUGGGGGGACCAUCCUCCAAGGCUAAAUACUCUAUGCUGACCGAUAGUGAACCAGUACCGUGAGGGAAAGGCGAAAAGAACCCCGGCGAGGGGAGUGAAAUAGAACCUGAAAUCUUGUGCUUACAAGCAGUCGGAGCAGACUUGUUCUGUGACGGCGUACCUUUUGUAUAAUGGGUCAACGACUUAAUUUCAGUAGCAAGCUUAACCAUAUAGGGGAGGCGUAGGGAAACCGAGUCUUAAUAGGGCGUUUAGUUUCUGGAAUUAGACCCGAAACCGGGUGAUCUAUCCAUGGCCAGUGUGAAGGUCGAGUAACAUCGACUGGAGGCGCGAACCCACUUAUGUUGAAAAAUGAGGGGAUGAGCUGUGGAUAGGAGUGAAAGGCUAAUCAAACCCGGAGAUAGCUGGUUCUCUUCGAAAACUAUUUAGGUAGUGCCUCGUGUAUUACCAUAGGGGGUAGAGCACUGUUUCGGCUAGGGGGUCAUCCCGACUUACCAAACCGAUGCAAACUCCGAAUACCUAUGAGUAUGAGCACGGGAGACAGACUGCGGGUGCUAACGUCCGUAGUCGAGAGGGAAACAACCCAGACUGUCAGCUAAGGUCCCUAAUUAUGAUUAAGUGGGAAACAAUGUGGGAAGGCACAAACAGCUAGGAGGUUGGCUUAGAAGCAGCCACCCUUUAAAGAAAGCGUAAUAGCUCACUAGUCGAGUCGGCCUGCGUGGAAGAUAUAACGGGGCUAAAUCAUAAACCGAAGCUACAGAUCUUUUAAGAUGGUAGAAGAGCGUUCUGUAAGCCGCUGAAGGUAAGCUGUGAGGCGAACUGGAGGUAUCAGAAGUGCGAAUGUUGACAUGAGUAACGAUCAAAGAGGUGAAAAACCUCUUCGCCGAAAAACUAAGGGUUCCUGUCCAACGCUAAUCGAGGCAGGGUGAGUCGGCCCCUAAGGCGAGGGCGAAAGCCGUAGUCGAUGGGAAACAGGUUAAUAUUCCUGUACUUUUUACAAUUGCGAUGGGGUGACGGAGAAGGUUAAGUUAGCACGGCGACGGUUGUCCGUGUUUAAGAUUGUAGGCCGAUAUUUCAGGUAAAUCCGGAAUAUUAAAGCUG
Molecule: ribosomal RNA, 1493 nt
Filed under: Gammaproteobacteria bacterium
Lineage: Bacteria; Pseudomonadati; Pseudomonadota; Gammaproteobacteria
Description: partial 23S ribosomal RNA
Rfam family: Bacterial large subunit ribosomal RNA
Source: RNAcentral